GUGGUUUGACCGGAGCGGGGGCACACCAGAGAAGCGAUCUCGUCCCCAUUAUUCAGGUACCCUUCAUCUUUCUCUCGUUCGACCUCUCCAAGAAAGUUAUAUAGGUAUAGUAAGCUAAUUGUGUUUUCUGGGUGCUGUAUAGGACACUACGGUUAAAGAUUGGUCUCAUUUAUAUUGAUGUUGCUGAUUAUCAAAUCAAUGGAUGUUAUCUAGAGUGCUUCUCCUUCCGAUUUGACGUACUAUGUCUUCCAGCUUAUACUAUAUAUGAUUUCUUUCAAUGGUUUUAACUAAUUAUGGAUAUGUAUCUAAUUAUGUUAUUUUGGCAUCAACAAAUUACUCACCUAGCAUUUAUUCUGCUAUAUGGAAACAAUCGGUGCCUAUUUCUUUUUUAUCUGAACUCAGACAUAAUUCUGCUAUAUGUAAACAAUCAUUGGUUCUUUCCAUUCUAUCUAAACUGAGAAAUAACUCUAAUCAGUUGUUUUUUAUUUACUGUCCAAGUAUCAUUCUUACCUAAAACUUGUGCCAAAACUGGUUUUUCUUUCAUAUGUGCCAUAGAUUAUCCAACCCCCUCUGCUUCUGUACAAUUUUGUCGACUUAUCUGGCAUUUUCUCAGCCGUGUGGAACCAGCACAUCUACCUGCGAAUCUCCAGGCUAUGAUAUCAGCAGGGUUGCUUCGAUGAUGGCCCUAUCAAGAGUAUACAUGUGUGCUCUUCUAUAGGGAAAUCAUGCCAACAAGAUGGUGCCUAAUGAGGUCAUAGACAUGUUUUAGACACUUUGCAUGAGAGAAAUUUAUACAAGUGUGCCAGGAUCCAUGUGAGGUUCCCUGUAACAAUUCUGAGGGUAGUGGAAGGCACGUAUACAUUAUGGUUCACUAGAUCAACAAUUGUCUUCACCUUGAGGGUGUUUUCAUUUGGUCAUGUUUGUUAACAUGCUUAGUUGCUUCUUCUUUAUUAUGUUUCUGCUCCGAUAACUUUCUCAUAUUAUAUCACUUUUGUUAUUAACCAUCGUAUCGAAUGGC
This 1018-nucleotide long non-coding RNA is filed under the name Triticum aestivum (bread wheat). RNAcentral describes it as "long non-coding RNA (TAES_LNC011218)". The record is from RNAcentral. Lineage: Eukaryota; Viridiplantae; Streptophyta; Magnoliopsida; Poales; Poaceae.